AUACAUGCAAGUCGAACGAGUUCUGAUUAUUGAAAGGUGCUUGCAUCUUGAUUUAAUUUUGAACGAGUGGCGGACGGGUGAGUAACACGUGGGUAACCUGCCCUUAAGUGGGGGAUAACAUUUGGAAACAGAUGCUAAUACCGCAUAAAUCCAAGAACCGCAUGGUUCUUGGCUGAAAGAUGGCGUAAGCUAUCGCUUUUGGAUGGACCCGCGGCGUAUUAGCUAGUUGGUGAGGUAACGGCUCACCAAGGCAAUGAUACGUAGCCGAACUGAGAGGUUGAUCGGCCACAUUGGGACUGAGACACGGCCCAAACUCCUACGGGAGGCAGCAGUAGGGAAUCUUCCACAAUGGACGCAAGUCUGAUGGAGCAACGCCGCGUGAGUGAAGAAGGCUUUCGGGUCGUAAAACUCUGUUGUUGGAGAAGAAUGGUCGGCAGAGUAACUGUUGUCGGCGUGACGGUAUCCAACCAGAAAGCCACGGCUAACUACGUGCCAGCAGCCGCGGUAAUACGUAGGUGGCAAGCGUUAUCCGGAUUUAUUGGGCGUAAAGCGAGCGCAGGCGGUUUUUUAAGUCUGAUGUGAAAGCCCUCGGCUUAACCGAGGAAGUGCAUCGGAAACUGGGAAACUUGAGUGCAGAAGAGGACAGUGGAACUCCAUGUGUAGCGGUGAAAUGCGUAGAUAUAUGGAAGAACACCAGUGGCGAAGGCGGCUGUCUGGUCUGUAACUGACGCUGAGGCUCGAAAGCAUGGGUAGCGAACAGGAUUAGAUACCCUGGUAGUCCAUGCCGUAAACGAUGAAUGCUAGGUGUUGGAGGGUUUCCGCCCUUCAGUGCCGCAGCUAACGCAUUAAGCAUUCCGCCUGGGGAGUACGACCGCAAGGUUGAAACUCAAAGGAAUUGACGGGGGCCCGCACAAGCGGUGGAGCAUGUGGUUUAAUUCGAAGCAACGCGAAGAACCUUACCAGGUCUUGACAUCUUUUGAUCACCUGAGAGAUCAGGUUUCCCCUUCGGGGGCAAAAUGACAGGUGGUGCAUGGUUGUCGUCAGCUCGUGUCGUGAGAUGUUGGGUUAAGUCCCGCAACGAGCGCAACCCUUAUGACUAGUUGCCAGCAUUUAGUUGGGCACUCUAGUAAGACUGCCGGUGACAAACCGGAGGAAGGUGGGGAUGACGUCAAAUCAUCAUGCCCCUUAUGACCUGGGCUACACACGUGCUACAAUGGAUGGUACAACGAGUUGCGAGACCGCGAGGUCAAGCUAAUCUCUUAAAGCCAUUCUCAGUUCGGACUGUAGGCUGCAACUCGCCUACACGAAGUCGGAAUCGCUAGUAAUCGCGGAUCAGCACGCCGCGGUGAAUACGUUCCCGGGCCUUGUACACACCGCCCGUCACACCGAUGAGAGUUUGUAACACCCGAAGCCGGUGGCGUAACCCUUUUAGGGAGCGAGC
Molecule: ribosomal RNA, 1441 nt
Filed under: Lacticaseibacillus rhamnosus
Lineage: Bacteria; Bacillati; Bacillota; Bacilli; Lactobacillales; Lactobacillaceae
Description: bacterial SSU rRNA
Rfam family: Bacterial small subunit ribosomal RNA
Source: RNAcentral